ACUGCUAUCGAGAUGGGACUAAGGUAUGCUAGUCGAACGACCAGAACUAUGUCUGGAAGUGGCACACUGCUCAGUAACACGUAGCUAACCUACCCUUAGGACGUGGAUACCCCCGAGAAAUUGGGGUUAAUCCGCGAUAGGUGUAAUGUCCUGGAAUGGUAUUACGCCUAAAGGUGUAUCAUACAUGUUUGAUAUACGCCUAAGGAUGGGGCUGCGGCCGAUCAGGCUGUUGGUGAGGUAAUGGCUCACCAAACCUUUGACCGGUACGGGCCAUGAGAGUGGUAGCCCGGAGAUGGACACUGAGACAAGGGUCCAGGCCCUAAGGGGCGCAGCAACCGCGAAACCUCCACAAUGCACUCACGUGCGAUGGGGCUAUCUCGAGUGCCACCUGAUGAAGGUGGCUUUUCCUAGGUCUUCAAAGCCUUGGGAAUAAGAGGGGGGCAAGACUGGUGUCAGCCGCCGCGGUAACACCAGCCCCUCGAGUGGUGGGGAUGAUUAUUUGGCCUAAAGCGUCCGUAGCCUGCCGGAUAAGUUUCCCGUUAAAUCCAACGUCUCAAGCGCUGGACUGCGGGAGAUACUACACGGCUAGAGAGUGGGAGAGGUCAGCGGUAUUCUGGGGGUAGGGGCGAAAUCCUUUGAUCCCCGGAGGACCACCAGUGGCGAAGGCUGCUGACUAGAACACGUCUGACGGUCAGGGACGAAAGCUGGGGUAGCGAACCGGAUUAGAUACCCGGGUAGUCCCAGCCGUAAACGAUGCAUGCUAGGUGUUGGGUUGGCCACGAGCCACCCCAGUGCCGCAGGGAAGCCGUUAAGCAUGCCGCCUGGGAAGUACGAUCGCAAGAUUGAAACUUAAAGGAAUUGGCGGGGGAGCACCACCAGGCGUGAAGCCUGCGGUUUAAUUGGAUUCAACGCCGGG
This 916-nucleotide ribosomal RNA is filed under the name uncultured archaeon. RNAcentral's name for it is "bacterial SSU rRNA". It matches the Rfam family "Archaeal small subunit ribosomal RNA", at positions 26 to 922 of the family's 1478-position model. The record is from RNAcentral.